Megalopta genalis is the source of this 863-nucleotide long non-coding RNA. RefSeq lists it as uncharacterized. Lineage: Eukaryota; Metazoa; Arthropoda; Insecta; Hymenoptera; Halictidae. The record is from RefSeq and is a predicted model, not a curated record.
ACCCGCCACUCUCGGAUUGCGAGACAUUUUUCGGACACCCUGUAUGUUCCACUGGGACGAACGGCGACGAGGUGGCAGGCCCGAGCUGCUGCUGGUGUCCUUUGUGCGGACGAUUGAAACUGUGUCGGCCGAUCGAGUACGAUGCAGUGAGAGAGUGUCGGGAAUGAUCAGGCACGCAGUAUCGUUUUCAACGGUAACGGGUCGUCGUCGAUGCGAUCGCCAAGGUCACAAGGUCACGGGUGCAUACUUUUACCUGCGCGUAAGCGCGAGGGACACGCGCGCGCGACCAGGAAACCACAGCACGGGUCGCGUGCGACCCCUUCGUUCCACGAUCCUGGAAUUUCCGGAAUUUUUCAUACCUCCCUUCUCGCAUUUACUAUGCGAAACACGUUCAGGCGACGGAACAAAGUGUCCGCACCACUUUUAAAACGCGAAUAACGUUUUUCAAGAUGGACUAAUUGACCUGUAGUUUCUUUUAGACGUUAGGGGCACUUAGUUUAGUGUACAGUGUCUAAUUGUUUUCUUUUUUUUUAAUUUUGAUAUUAGUUGGAACGGCGAUAAAAAUAAAAGCAGAAAGAGAAAGGCGGGUAAUGUUAUUAUAGAUCAAAAAUGAGUAAAGCUAAUACAUUAAAAUGAUUAAGGAAAUAAAUAAAUAGCUACUUAACUUCGAUAUUUUACGAUCAAUGUAGGCAAUGUUUAUUUUUUAUAAGAAUAUGCAGUCUAUUAAUAUCCCUUGGUCUUUCACGUAAGGAACUGAUAUUCAGUUCAUUGCGUAAAUUAUAAAUAAAUUGUAAAUACAUUGUGAAUAAUGUAGUUAAAUGUAUAAGGAUAAAUAAAUGAAAUACGAAUGAUACAUUUAAUAA